AUAAAUAAUUGUAAAUAUUAAAGGUCUUAAAUUCUUAGGAAUUUUAUUGGAAAACAAAAAGGUACACUUGAUUAUUGGCAAAAAGAUUUAGAACCUGAUUGAGAUUGUCAUUUAAAUUACUUUUGAAAAUAUUAUUAAAAAAUUAACCAUUUCAGAGUUUUUAAGACUAAAACACACAAAAUUUAAUUUAAAAUUAAUAUUUAAUAAUCGGUAAAAAGACAUGAUUUUCAAUAAAAAUUAAAAGCUAACAAUGAUGACUUACAUAGAAGGCAACACAUAUCCCGG
RNAcentral lists this unclassified non-coding RNA (285 nucleotides) under Hevea brasiliensis (rubber tree). The record is from RNAcentral. Lineage: Eukaryota; Viridiplantae; Streptophyta; Magnoliopsida; Malpighiales; Euphorbiaceae.